UCAGCAGAGGGGCUGCAGGCUGCUGGUGCUCCUCCAGAUGCAACUAAACAGCCAAAGCCAAAAUAAUAUUUAUCCUAUAAAGACCGUGAGUAGGUUUAAUGAAAGUUGCAAGCAACGUUCAGAUUAUGUGAAACAGGAUAACCCUUGAGGUCAUGCAUUGGCCUGAGUUUUGCUAUGAGUGCAACAAAAGCAUGUUUUUAAAAUUGAAAUAGUGAUGACUUCUACUUUUAUCAUCAAUGGAAAAUCUUUUAAAAACUGGACAACAUUAUGUUUUGUUUGCUGCUUGUUUCACAAAACCUAGGACUAUUUUGGGAGGCCAAUAAAGAUUCACUGACGUCAAAAUGGAAUAUUAAAGGCAGAUGUUUCUAGUUAGCUUAUUUAUCCCUAACCACUUUUCCUGAUUUUUUUUUUUUUUUAGAGAUAAGUCUAGACUAGACAGAGCACAUUUCUAAAGCAUGCUUAUUAACUCAUUGGUUAUUAAAUAUUUUCCAGAAUAAGACUAUCAAUUUUCUUUCCUCUCCCUAAUAUCGUUAUUAAUUAAAUUAUUAUGUAGUCUUUUGAAAAGCCAAUGAUAUUACUGUGAUGGAUCCAAAAAAAAUCUCCUUCAUAGCAGCAAUUAUCAGUAACAUUAUUAGAUACAUGUACAAUAUGCCACUGGUAUGAAAAACCAAACAUCUGGAGAAGACGGAUGUUCAGGACCACGCUGGGUUUUCUCUGAAAAAAACUUCUCUCUGCAUCCCCGACUGUUGUCCUGGUAUUGUCAGCAAGCACAAGCCCGAAUGGCAUGCAGAUUGUGUUAAUUUGCACUGAAGACAGUCUUUGGCUCUACAAAUAAGAAAGCAUCUUUAAACACAUCCGUUCUCUACUGAGCUGAGUACUCCUGGCUUCCAGCUCUGUGGUGCACACAUGCACUCGGCCAGCAAGAUCAGUGAGGGACUUACAAGGUAAGUGUGAGCAAGUUUAUGAUGAAGUCGUUAAAUUCACGGACACUGUUCUUUUUUCAACAUCUCAUAUUGGACCAUGGAUUUGAUAUUUCAAGUAGUAACAUCAUUCUGCUGUUGAACUAGAAUAGUGAUGUUGGGUGGUAUUUGCUAGUUCUUCUGGUGUCACUGUGAGCCGUGAAUCUCUCAAAAGGAAUCAGUGGUUUGGAUGGGAGAAGAGGAAAGGAUAGAACUUGCUUGGGUAAUCAUACAAGCAGUCCUUGUGCUGCUUUUAACUUGUGCAGCUUUUAACUAAGCUGAGUGUUACCCAUCCCCAGUCCAGUCACUGAAUUACUCUGUUGUGC
This 1285-nucleotide long non-coding RNA is filed under the name Anas platyrhynchos platyrhynchos (common mallard). RNAcentral's name for it is "lncRNA (ENSAPLG00000025161.1)". The record is from RNAcentral. Lineage: Eukaryota; Metazoa; Chordata; Aves; Anseriformes; Anatidae.